This 476-nucleotide ribosomal RNA is filed under the name uncultured bacterium. Its description in RNAcentral is "bacterial SSU rRNA". It matches the Rfam family "Bacterial small subunit ribosomal RNA", at positions 328 to 796 of the family's 1533-position model. The record is from RNAcentral.
CCUUGAGACUCCUACGGGAGGCAGCAGUAGGGAAUCUUCCGCAAUGGACGCAAGUCUGACGGAGCAACGCCGCGUGAGUGAAGAAGGUUUUCGGAUCGUAAAACUCUGUUGUUAGAGAAGAACAAGUGCUAGAGUAACUGUUAGCGCCUUGACGGUAUCUAACCAGAAAGCCACGGCUAACUACGUGCCAGCAGCCGCGGUAAUACGUAGGUGGCAAGCGUUGUCCGGAUUUAUUGGGCGUAAAGCGAGCGCAGGCGGUUCCUUAAGUCUGAUGUGAAAGCCCCCGGCUCAACCGGGGAGGGUCAUAUGAAACUGGGGAACUUGAGUGCAGAAGAGGAGAGUGGAAUUCCAUUUGUAGCGGUGAAAUGCGUAGUGAUAUGGAGGAACACCAGUGGCGAAGGCGACUCUCUGGUCUGUAACUGACGCUGAGGCUCGAAAGCGUGGGUAGAAAACAGGAUUAGAAACCCCGGUAGUCC